UACGUAGGGUGCGAGCGUUGUCCGGAAUUAUUGGGCGUAAAGAGCUCGUAGGCGGUCUGUCGCGUCGAUCGUGAAAACUUGGGGCUUAACCCUGAGCUUGCGGUCGAUACGGGCAUGACUGGAGUUCGGCAGGGGAGACUGGAAUUCCUGGUGUAGCGGUGAAAUGCGCAGAUAUCUGGAGGAACACCAAUGGCGAAGGCAGCUCGCUGGAACGGUACUGACGCUGAGGCGCGAAAGCGUGGGGAGCGAACAGG
This 254-nucleotide ribosomal RNA is filed under the name uncultured bacterium. RNAcentral describes it as "partial 16S ribosomal RNA". It matches the Rfam family "Bacterial small subunit ribosomal RNA", at positions 524 to 776 of the family's 1533-position model. The record is from RNAcentral.